Molecule: long non-coding RNA, 307 nt
Filed under: Vulpes vulpes (red fox)
Lineage: Eukaryota; Metazoa; Chordata; Mammalia; Carnivora; Canidae
Description: lncRNA (ENSVVUG00000021540.1)
Source: RNAcentral
UUAACAAGUCUCCAGAAAACCAAUUUUUUUAUAGAUAAGAACACAAGAAUUACUGUUAUCUCUUAUCUUUUAACAGGAAUUUUGUAGAAGAUGAGCAUUCUUCAUUUCAAAAAUAAUUGGAGAAGAUUAGCUGUGAAGCCAAAGAUUGUGCCUGUCAGUGCCACUUAGUGGAACAAGAGGUCAGAGUGGUAAUUGUGAGUCAGAACUCAGGACCUGAAAUGGGUAAGGUGACUUGAAAUGAGAUGUUUAAUUUGCAAGACAAAAAAAUUAAAAUGUGGGUGUAUGCUGAAUGCCUCUGUCAUAUAAG